UACGUAGGGGGCUAGCGUUGUCCGGAAUCAUUGGGCGUAAAGCGCGCGUAGGCGGCCCGGUAAGUCCGCUGUGAAAGUCCAGGGCUCAACCCUGGAAAGCCGGUGGAUACUGCCGGGCUAGAGUCCGGGAGAGGCGAGUGGAAUUCCUGGUGUAGCGGUGGAAUGCGCAGAUAUCAGGAGGAACACCGAUUGCGAAGGCAGCUCGCUGGGACGUCACUGACGCUGAGACGCGAAAGCGUGGGGAGCAAACAGG
Molecule: ribosomal RNA, 253 nt
Filed under: uncultured bacterium
Lineage: Bacteria
Description: partial 16S ribosomal RNA
Rfam family: Bacterial small subunit ribosomal RNA
Source: RNAcentral